UUUCGGUCAAACUGAUGCUUCGUAAGUUUCAUAUCCACUCUUGUCCAACAAGCUAUUAAAGCCUUUUUUUGCUCCUCAUUCAUGAUUGCAGAGAGCAUCGCUUGCACAUUGUGCGGUUUGGAUGAGCUGAACACCAUUACCGAGAAGUUGGCGAAGAUGUAUUUAAGAAAGUUAUGAAGACCCGGUCUCGGAAUAGGAUUACGAGAGGCUUCGUAUACGGAUUUUUCUGAUCUGACUGCAAGCGCGCGACAUAGCAAAGUUCCAUUCAAGUCUAAAAUAACUAAUUUCCUAUUGUCUGUCGCACCAUUGCAAGAAGAGGCCUGCGAAAGAUAUGUGAGAGAGGGUUCUGGUGCCAUUAAGUUUAAAGUUCGUUUUUUGUAAAAUUGUAUUCUGUGGAAAAUUGAGGGACUGAUGCGCAUCAACCCGAUCACUUUUUCGACGGGUAAAUUAAACUUGUUUGGAAAAUGGUGCUUUGGUAUAUCAAAGCCAAAAACUGAUAAAAAUUAACAAUAUAAAGCUUUGUAGACAACGAAUAUUAAACGAGUACUUGAAGCCAGCACAAUACAAAGCACUAAAAUUCUACGUUACAAGGAACUCGACAAAUAAUCGCAGGAAAUGACUAAAACCGUAAAAGAAUUAGUUUGUUUCUUCGCUUCGAAGAUUAAACUUACAAUCCUUCUAUAAUUAGCGCGUUUCGUAGUGAUCCCGACACAUCUACCUCUUAUAUGUUUUGAUAGGUGUUCAGAAAGUAAACUGGAGUUCUGAGAAGUUUAUAUUUGCGAACUGGCGGGUCAUAUCAAAUACGCGGAAAUACGGGAAUAAUUAUUAUAACUAAUGCCUAGCCACAGUGGAUCAUAAUCUGAAUGUUUCACAAUUGACACCUCAUCCGUGUGGCUGUACAAUGAAUUUUGGAACUGCUAGCUGUAAGGUGAUUGUGAGAUAAACCAUAAGACAAGGAAAUAUAAAACUAGUAGUUUUUAAACGGUUGCUAAUUAGGAAUAUUAAUACGGACACUUCAUGAUUACAAACAACCAAAAUGACAUUAGGCAGUUAACUAAAC
This is a non-coding RNA of Schizosaccharomyces pombe (fission yeast), 1060 nucleotides long. The record is from the annotation of a GenBank genome assembly. Lineage: Eukaryota; Fungi; Ascomycota; Schizosaccharomycetes; Schizosaccharomycetales; Schizosaccharomycetaceae.